Molecule: non-coding RNA, 719 nt
Organism: Carica papaya (papaya)
Lineage: Eukaryota; Viridiplantae; Streptophyta; Magnoliopsida; Brassicales; Caricaceae
Source: RefSeq, a predicted model, not a curated record
UAAAAACCUCUCUUCUGUGUCUCAUCCCAACGAGUAAACAAGCACAUAGCAGAUGCGAAUGGCGGGGCGCUACAGAUCUCUAUCGAGGUCAGUGCUUUCCGAGGCCAGAGCCUCAUCGAUCAGCAGCAAAAAGGGUUUUGCUGACAAUGUUAGCAAUGAUGGUGGGAAUGGUGGCGGCGGCAGCAGCAGCAGCAGUGAUACUUCCAUCAAGUUAUAAAGCUGGUUACCUUCUGGCUUUUUGGUUCAAGCUCAAGCCUCAUGGAGUAGACAGAAUUCAUAUACCUAACAAAUAACCUGAAGAAUAUUACAGAAUAUGCCUAUUACCACUAAUAUUCUUUGGUCCAUUUAUGAGUUCCAUAGAAACCACAGAACUACCCAAUUAAAUCAAGCUUUCUAAAAGCUACUAAAUUUGGUUGAUACUUGAUAGCCAGAUUAUAUUGUAUCAUAUAACAAGUUGUAAGCUUUUUAAAAGUUAGUACAUUUGCUUGAUACUUGAUGGAGUCUUCCACAACCUGAUUGUAUUGUAUUAUCUAACAAGUUGUCAGUCACUAUUUCCACCCCCUUCCCUUCUCUCUUUCUCUCUCCUUAUGUAUGUAUAAUAUAUAUGUAUCUAGGUACAUACGUGUAAUUGUUGAUGUUACUCUCGAAUCUGCAGUUUCAUGAUGUCUAUUGUUGUUUGAUCACUUGGGUUCUUUAUGAAACCAAGUAGUUUGGCUUGA